RNAcentral lists this ribosomal RNA (476 nucleotides) under uncultured bacterium. RNAcentral describes it as "bacterial SSU rRNA". It matches the Rfam family "Bacterial small subunit ribosomal RNA", at positions 24 to 518 of the family's 1533-position model. The record is from RNAcentral.
UCAGGACGAACGCUGGCGGCGUGCUUCAUACAUGCAAGUCGAACGAGAAUCUGGGCUUCGGUCAGAGGAAAGUGGCGGACGGGUGAGUAAUGUGUAGAGAAUCUGCCCUUUAGUGGGGGACAACAGUUGGAAACGACUGCUAAUACCCCAUAUGCGCGUAGCUGAGAUGCUAUUCGUGAAAACUCCGGUGCUAAAGGAUGAGUCUGCAUCUGAUUAGCUAGUUGGCGGUGUAAUGGACCACCAAGGCGACGAUCAGUAGCUGGUCUGAGAGGAUGAUCAGCCACAAUGGGACUGAGACACGGCCCAUACUCCUACGGGAGGCAGCAGUAGGGAAUUUUGCGCAAUGGGGGAAACCCUGAACCGCAGCAACGCCGCGUGAUUGAAUAAGCCCUUCGGGGUGUAAAGAUCUGUCAGUAGGGACGAAACUUGACGGUACCUACAGAGGAAGCAUCGGCUAACUCCGUGCCAGCCGCGGC